RNAcentral lists this ribosomal RNA (445 nucleotides) under uncultured bacterium. RNAcentral describes it as "partial 16S ribosomal RNA". It matches the Rfam family "Bacterial small subunit ribosomal RNA", at positions 354 to 796 of the family's 1533-position model. The record is from RNAcentral.
GUGGGGAAUAUUGGACAAUGGGCGCAAGCCUGAUCCAGCCAUGCCGCGUGCAGGAAGACGCAUCUAUGGUGUGUAAACUGCUUUUGUACGGGAAGAAACACUCCCUCGUGAGGGAGCUUGACGGUACCGUAAGAAUAAGGAUCGGCUAACUCCGUGCCAGCAGCCGCGGUAAUACGGAGGAUCCAAGCGUUAUCCGGAAUCAUUGGGUUUAAAGGGUCCGUAGGCGGUUUAAUAAGUCAGUGGUGAAAGCCCAUCGCUCAACGAUGGAACGGCCAUUGAUACUGUUAGACUUGAAUUACAAGGAAGUAACUAGAAUAUGUAGUGUAGCGGUGAAAUGCUUAGAUAUUACAUGGAAUACCAAUUGCGAAGGCAGGUUACUACUUGUGGAUUGACGCUGAUGGACGAAAGCGUGGGGAGCGAACAGGAUUAGAAACCCUAGUAGUCC